This 856-nucleotide ribosomal RNA is filed under the name uncultured Zetaproteobacteria bacterium. RNAcentral describes it as "bacterial SSU rRNA". It matches the Rfam family "Bacterial small subunit ribosomal RNA", at positions 34 to 883 of the family's 1533-position model. The record is from RNAcentral. Lineage: Bacteria; Pseudomonadati; Pseudomonadota; Candidatius Mariprofundia.
CGCUGGCGGCAUGCCUAACACAUGCAAGUCGAACGGUAACAGGUCUUCGGAUGCUGACGAGUGGCGCACGGGUGAGUAACGCGUGGAUAUCUGCCUAUGAGUGGGGGACAACUUUCGGAAACGAAAGCUAAUACCGCAUAAUCUCUACGGAGCAAAGCAGGGGACCUUUCGGGGCCUUGUGCUUAUAGAUGAGUCCGCGUCAGAUUAGCUAGUUGGUGGGGUAAGAGCCUACCAAGGCGAUGAUCUGUAGCUGGUUUGAGAGGAUGAUCAGUCACACUGGAACUGAGACACGGUCCAGACUCCUACGGGAGGCAGCAGUGGGGAAUUUUGCACAAUGGGGGAAACCCUGAUGCAGCGAUGCCGCGUGUGGGAAGAAGGCCUUUGGGUUGUAAACCACUUUCAAUUGGGAAGAAGGGAUGAGGAUUAAUAAUCCUCUGACUUGACGGUACCUUUAGAAGAAGCACCGGCUAAUUUCGUGCCAGCAGCCGCGGUAAUACGAAAGGUGCAAGCGUUGUUCGGAUUUACUGGGCGUAAAGAGAUCGUAGGUGGUUUGUUAAGUUGGAUGUGAAAUCCCGGGGCUCAACCUCGGAACUGCAUCCAAAACUGGCAGACUUGAGUUCGGGGAGGGGUAAGCGGAAUUCCGUGUGUAGCAGUGAAAUGCGUAGAUAUACGGAGGAACACCUGAGGCGAAGGCGGCUUACUGGACCGAUACUGACACUGAGGAUCGAAAGCGUGGGUAGCAAACAGGAUUAGAUACCCUGGUAGUCCACGCCCUAAACGAUGUCAACUAGCCGUUGCGGGUAUCGACCCCUGCAGUGGCGCAGCUAACGCGAUAAGUUGACCGCCUGGGGAGUAC